UGAAGGCCUCCCUUUUCUCCUGUUAUUUAAUAGGCUCGGGUGUUCUAGAAGGAUUUAACAUGAAAAACCAUUCAUCCAGACUUCAUCGUGCUGAAGAAAUAAGAUGAGUCUACCACCUCUGUUCAUCUAGCGAGGUCCUGGAUCUCUUCUACCUCACACAGCAUGAGAAAACACACAAACCAGAGAGGAGCUGCAGAAUUUCUCUGUGAAGAGAAGAACAGAAAAGACGAAUUCUCCAGGGAUGUUCAUAAGCUAUUCCCUUCCUUCACCAAAAUUUCCUCAGCUUCUGCUACAUGUUUAAUCCAAGAAGGAAUGGAACUCUGGCUGAGCAUCUGGGUUUUCAGUUUGUGGUGGACAGAAAAUGAGAAAACUCCACCUAUUUAGGACUGAGGAACAGAAAGGACACAGGUAA
Passer domesticus (house sparrow) is the source of this 412-nucleotide long non-coding RNA. RefSeq lists it as uncharacterized. The record is from RefSeq and is a predicted model, not a curated record. The transcript has 5 exons. NCBI's taxonomy places the organism in Eukaryota, Metazoa, Chordata, Aves, Passeriformes, Passeridae.